Molecule: long non-coding RNA, 417 nt
Organism: Dreissena polymorpha
Lineage: Eukaryota; Metazoa; Mollusca; Bivalvia; Myida; Dreissenidae
Exons: 3
Source: RefSeq, a predicted model, not a curated record
GCAAUGUACGAAUGUGUGUUACUGUAUCAUCUCGGAAUUAUUAAGUUUCCAAAUGUAAUUGGCGUUAUCGAUGGGACGCAUGUCCAGAUUCAAGCCCCAGUUGUUGAUGAACCGGCGUAUGUGAAUCGGAUGGGUUACCAUUCCAUAAACACACAGGGUGAUUUUGUCAUGUGCUGUAUUGCACAACAUAUGCAACAUGCGAAUCUGCCAAUGGAUCCUUUGGACAUAGAUGCCUUACCAGAUCAUCCUGAAAAUUACCAUGGAAAUGAAGAUGGCCUUCGUUACAGGAAUGUAGUAGCAAAUACAUUUUUUUAGAUCAUAGGUGUCGUGAUCUGAGAAAACUAGGCAUAAUGCAUGUGCGUAAAGUGUCAUCCCAGAUUAGCCCAGAUAUUGCAGUCCACACAGAAUAAUCAGGGA